Molecule: long non-coding RNA, 160 nt
Organism: Varanus komodoensis (Komodo dragon)
Lineage: Eukaryota; Metazoa; Chordata; Lepidosauria; Squamata; Varanidae
Exons: 3
Source: RefSeq, a predicted model, not a curated record
AAUGUGUUAAGCAUGGGCAGAAAAGAUGAACUGCGCAGAAAAAGCUACUCUAGGACUGCAUUUCAAUAUUGCCCUCUUUCAGUGGAACUUUAACCCUAGAUUAGGCUUAGGGGUGUGAACAAGGGUAGGUUUAGGGUUGAAAAAAAAUGAGGUGUUCUGG